RNAcentral lists this ribosomal RNA (407 nucleotides) under uncultured bacterium. RNAcentral's name for it is "bacterial SSU rRNA". It matches the Rfam family "Bacterial small subunit ribosomal RNA", at positions 976 to 1381 of the family's 1533-position model. The record is from RNAcentral.
UACUCUUGACAUCCUGCGAAUUUGGUAGAGAUACCUUAGUGCCUUCGGGAACGCAGAGACAGGUGCUGCAUGGCUGUCGUCAGCUCGUGUUGUGAAAUGUUGGGUUAAGUCCCGUAACGAGCGCAACCCUUGUCCUUAUUUGCCAGCGCGUAAUGGCGGGAACUCUAAGGAGACUGCCGGUGACAAACCGGAGGAAGGUGGGGACGACGUCAAGUCAUCAUGGCCCUUACGAGUAGGGCUACACACGUGCUACAAUGGUCGGUACAAACGGGUUGCCAACUCGCGAGAGUGAGCCAAUCCCGAAAAGCCGAUCUCAGUCCGGAUCGGAGUCUGCAACUCGACUCCGUGAAGUCGGAAUCGCUAGUAAUCGUGGAUCAGAAUGCCACGGUGAAUACGUUCCCGGGCCU